UUCAGCAUCUUGGACUCCUCGGGCGUGAAUACAAUCCAGUCAGUGCCUAAGGGUGAUCCAAUGGCAGGCUCAUUUCCCCUAAGUCUAUCGACAAUCGCCCUGCAUCUCUUUCUAUUACAGGCCAUAAUUUCUGGAGUAAGAACGGGCAAGAAACCAUCGUCUACAAAAAUAGAGGCCAUGUCAUAGGCAGGAAUAGGAAUCACGAGCGCAUAAGAGGCACAUCCAUAAAACAAAAGAAACCUAUUUCAGAAGAGGAUCUCGUACAUUUUAUUUUGGGUAGGCCUAAGGAUAUGUAAGGCGACAACGGGUCAAAGAAAGAUUGUUUCCGCCGAACAAAAGGUGGAUGAUGGCUACUUGAAGCAGCAUUAAGACUAACAGAACGAUGCAGAGGCAUGAUAGUCAGAGGAACGACAUGAAGAAUAACCACAGCACACUGCAACAGAAAUAUAAAACCAUGAAUGAAACAAAGAAGCGAAGUCAAACAGUGGCAGACACAUAGAAGGAAAAAACAAAGAAGAAGCGCGGCAGGAUGCACAUUCCACCUUCUAAAAAUACCUGAUCUAAAACCGAGAAAUAUCUUUUUAUCCACAGAGCUAGUAAAAAGCAUCUGAAAAAACCAAACUGAGAAACAAAACCUAAGAUGUGAAACCUUGGAUUUUGGAAAACCGAUAAAAACAACACUUUAUUUUCUAACAGAAGGAGACACAAUCUAAUCAGGUAGACAAAAUAGCAAGAGGACAUAGAACCAGACCAAAAAGCAAAAUCCAAGAAACAAUAUCCUAUAAAGGGCAUGGAAUUGACAUUUUUGACUACAAUGAAAGGAAGAGGCAACCCAAAAAUACACCUACGGGAAAAGAACAAGAAUCAUUUUUUGACUGCAAUGAAAGAAAGGGGCAUCCCAAAAAUACACCUAAGACAAAAGCACAAGAAUCAUUUUUUGGGAGAAGUUUAAGAAAAGAAGGGGGAAAUACAAAGGAGGUAGAAAAGGCCCAUCAAGCAAAAUCGAAGAAACAUGCUUUUAAAAGCCCAAGAAGAAUCAAACCAUAACACCAAAGGCAUAAGUUCCUAUGAAGCCCAUGCUAGUUUUUUUCUAUAAGACAGGGGGAAGCCCAAAGGCCGAAGACCCAACCGAAGAAGAACUGAUAAACAAGCAAGGCAUCUAUUAUAGGGGCACGUGUGGGAAGGACGUUGAAUUUGAAGUGGAAGGUUGACCUUUUUAAUUCCGUAAAAUGUAGAAGGUAGCAAGGCCCAAAGGCCAGGUAUAUGAACUAUAAAAAGACUAAAGGUAUCAUCCCAUCCAAUACAAAGCAUGCAUGCAGACCUAAAUAAGAAACCAAGAAAAGAUAGCUAAAGAGACCGAAGAGAGGAAAACACAUGCGAGUGUAGUAGGCCCCAAUCAUUUAUCUCUGUGUUCGUAGAGGGAUAGCCCAAGCGAAAUAGCUCCCUCUCCAAGUGUCCAACGUGUCGAGUGGCAGAGACUGCAACUAUUAUGGAAGAACAAAGUGAGCUCCUAUAGGACAAAAUACAGUCAUAAUUAUAGCCUAGAACUACAAACACAUACAGACGCUGCAAAAAACUUAUGGCCUCAAGGGAAGCCUAUUCAUAGGCAUGGACAAAACUAUUAGAUUGAUCUCUGACCGCGUGGGCCCAACGGCCCACCGGGCCUUGAUCUAUGCGCCCUGAUCGGGGGCGCCCAACCCAUUAUGGUUGGUGGGCCCCUGUGACCCGCGCUAUAUAAAGGAAGGUGGGAUGCCGGGGCACGAACUACGAGAUUCGCUGCUGUCACACCCCUACCGACAUACCUAUCCGAUCUAGGUUAAGCGCGGUGCUCACGGAAAGCUCCACCCACGCCUAACCCUCUUUCUCCGUCAUCGCCGUCGCUACCGCACCGAUGGAGACCGUGGGAGCUCAUCCAGCUCAGGACAAGGUAAACCUACGGGCACUACUGUUGGCAAUAAGCCACGGUGAGCGCAGCCUGCAUGCUUGCGGGCGUGAGCUGGCCGCGUCGGGUCCGUGGCAGGUGUCCCUGUGUGUGUGUCUGGGCAUAGGCUGGUUAGUGUACGACUUGCCGGAUGGUCUGGCCAUAGUCCGUGUAUAGUCCGGCUAAUUUACAGGCUGUGUGCGUGCGUGAGUGCGUGUGUCUGUUAGCUAGAUAGCCAAGGAUGUGACCGCGUCGCCCGCACUGGAAACGGCCGCGUUGUUCGCGUUGGAGCGCGACGGGUGCGCUGGCUGGGAGUGCGAGACGUGGAGAGCGAGUCUCGUGGUGGAGUUCGUGGCUCCAUGCACGAGGGCGGACAACUCGGCAGGAGAACGCGUACGUGCGCGUAGAGCUCGCUGGAGUUGGUUUCGUAGGUGUUGCGUCUCUGUGAGGCUAUAAGUGAUGAUGUACUGCUCUUGUGUGUGAUGUGGGUUGAGUUCGAGCUCAAAGAAAAACGUUGUUGUUGCGGCAGGCGUUCGUGCGCCAAGGAAAACCACCGUGUCCUGUUCCUUCUUCUUCCCUCCUUCCUCCUCGGUACGAGCCAGAGAGAGAGAAGUGUGCAGAGAGACAGAGAGAGGUAGAGCUAGGACAAGGGCUCGGUUCCAACAACUACCGUGACUCAUCUACCCUAGUCGAUCCGCAGGAUCUAUCAAUGGUAUCUUGAGCCACUAGGGUAAGAUGUGUUUCGGUCAAAGAAACCAAAGAGAAAAAAAUUCCCUCCCCAGAAGCACCGAAGAUGGCCUCGGGCCUCAUCGGAAAAGAAGCGCCGCCGCAAGGCCGCGCCUGUUCCUCUCGAUCCCCACACGCAUCGGCAAGCCGAGGUGUGGGGAAGAAGAACCUACCUCCUCGGAGGCUAAAGAACGGAUCAAGAUCCAACAAGAAAACAAAGAAAGUAAACGGAUCCGAUCCGGAAAAGGCAAAAAAGGGGAGAGGAACAUGCAAAGACACGGCAUAGGCCGAAGGAAAAAGAAAAGGGCGCCGCAAACACGUCGUUCGACGGCGGUGCGCUUCCGCCAAGGGAAACGCACCACCGGCGAAGGGGUGGUCACGGCGCCAUAGGCCUAAGGCCGCGGGACAAAGCAACAUGGCCAUGGAGCACCCUCUUGGCAGGGACAAAGGCACCCCUAACACACCACUUGACGGCGGCGCGCUCUCCCUCGGGAGAGGGCGCGCACCGGCAAGGGGAGUGAAGGGGGCCACCGCUGAAAUGAAAAGACAAUCGGCCGUGUGGGAGCUUAGCCCCACGCCGGCGGCCAGAUCUAGCCACUCCCCGGGGGGCUGCAAGCCGCCGCGCGAGGGAAGGAAGGCGGGGCCCCAGAGAGGCAUCCUCGGCGGGGCAUCGAUGCAGCCGCGCGUGGGAAGCCCUCGGCCGCCCCAAGAAUCUUUUCGGCCUGCACCGGCCGCAAGGAAGAGGCCGAAGGCCAGAGGCGAGCGACGUGAGCUCCCCCCCCCCUCCAAAGCAACUCGCGGGAGGGAGGACCUUCGCCGCGCUCGACAGGAGGGUGUUAGACCUCACCGCCGGCGGCCGGCUCCUUUCCUGGCCACGGGCUGCUCGGGAGAGAAGGGGCGGGCGCCAGAGAAACGAGAAGCGAGCGGCUGAGGGGGCAAAUGGAGUUAGGGUUUCGGCAGGGGAUGGGCUCUAGCCCUUUUUGUUUCGCCGAAAGCUAUGCCUGACCGUAGGAUCUCAUCCGNNNNNNNNNNNGGGUUUUUUAGUUUCUGUCUAUUAAGGCAGAUUCAAAGUUUUUUUUUCUAGGAAUUUUUUCCUACGAAAACAUGAUUAGAAAAAGAAAAAGGAAAUGUUGAAAGUUUCUGACAAUUUACACAGAAUUGUAAUAUUAUUUUUCUGAAAAGAAAAAUAAAAGGGUUUCUGAAAAUAAAAUAGUUUUUCAGAAAAAGAACGUUCAUGAUCUUUAUAAAAGCAUUAAUAAAGAUCACGAGUUUUAUAUAAAAUAACAGAAUUAUUUUCUGUAAAAUUAAAAGGCAUAUGAAAUUUUAAACUCACGUUUUCCGCUGCUAAGUAAAAUAUGAAAUGUGGUCAUGCUAUUAUUCUCACCAACGUUGUUUAGUAACAUGAUCAUGUUGCAUAUUGCAAAAGAUGCAUUUAUUUCUAUCAGUUGCCCAACGGUAAUGUACAUUAAUUUGCAUAGGCAAUUGUAUGAUUACUUUAACCAACGUUAUUUAAUUCAUAUAAUUGUCGUACUGACUUUGCUUAUAUGGUGAUUUCAGGAGGUUUUCAUCUGAUGAGUUGCCUCAAGGACGUUCCUACACUCAUAGGGGAUAAUUACUCUGAGUGGAGGAAGAAGGUUGACAUGGCUUUGUGCAUUGCUGAGGUGGACUGGGUUCUGGAGGAACCACAGCCAGCUGCUCCCUCAGAACCAGACAGAGAUGCUGACGAGGAUGAUGAGAGUUGGGAGAAAAAGCAAUGGGAUUGUGGCAAAGAGGAGAUGUCCUACUUCAUACGUAACAGGUUAUGGAUAAAUGCCAACAACAAAUGUUUGGCAUUUAUUAAGAACACCAUUGAGACCACCAUUGUGGGCUCAAUAGCAGAGUGCCCUACUGCAAAGGAGAUGUUCAACAAGAUAAAGAGUCAGUUUACUGGCUCUUCUAAGACCUAUGUCAUCCAGUUGAUCAAACAACUGGUGACAGAGAGCUACAAUGGAGGUGGCCAUGGCAUAAGGGAGCACAUCCUUAGGAUGAGCAACACGGCAGCCAAGCUUAAGCCCAUGAUGUGAAUCUGGAGAUCAAACCAGCUCUCCUUGUCCACCUGGUCAUGGCUUCGCUGCCUAAAGAAUUUGAGACCUUUGUAGUAAACUACAACAUGCAACCUGAGACAUGGGAUAUAGAAAAGGUCAUCGCAAUGUGCUCACAAGAAGAGGAGAGGAUCAAGGCUUCACAUGGUGGCUCCCUUAACUAUGUAAAGAAAAAGAAAAAGGUUUUCCCACCUAACAAAGGUUCUCCCUCAAAGCCACAGGGCAAAGUUCAAGGCAAGACUCCCGCUCAUUAUCAGCCAAAGCCAAUAACAGUAGACAAGGACACUUGUAUGUACUGCAAGGAAAAAGGGCACUACAAGAAGGAUUGUGCUGCUUGGCUAAAGAUCUUCAUGGUAAAGAGAGGUAAAUAUAUUGUUUCCCUAGUAAAUGAAUCUCUGUAUGUAAAGUUUUGAAAAUCUACUUGGUGGAUUGACGCAGGUGCAACAUUUCAUGUUGCAAACUCUUUACAGGGGUUCAGUUCGAUGAGGACCAUGUGCCAAAAAGAAAGAAGUAUUGAAGUCGCAAAUGGUGUCCAAGCAGAAGUUGAAGCUGUAGAUGACGUCUCCUUGGAGCUAACCGAAGGAUUCAAGCUUUUGCUUAGAGAUGUACUUUUUGUGCCUUCAUGUAAUAGGAACUUAAUAAGUGUUUCAUGCUUAGACAAAGACAAUUAUCAAUGUGUUUUUGGACAUGGUAAAUGUACCGUUUGGUACAAUAAUGAUUAUGUAGGCAAUGGCUUUCUUCAUGAUGUGCUUUAUUUGUUAUCAAUUCAUGACAAAGUGAAUUAUGCAAAUAAUGUGAAUGUUCAAAGUUCUUCGUCGAACAAUGAACAAAAGAAAAGAAAGAGAACUCACGACCUCUCGAAACUAUGGCACUGUCGAUUGGGCCAUAUUUCCAGGGGGAGAAUAGAAAGAUUAAUCAAAAGCGAAAUUCUUCCAAAAUUGGAGUUCUCUGACUUAGAACAAUGCGUAGAUAGCAUUAAAGGAAAAAAUGUAAAACAGAUAAAGAAAGGUGCAAACCGAAGCACAGGAACACUGGAAAUUAUCCACACUGAUAUUUGUGGACCGUUUCCGGUGAAAAGUGUGGAUGGUUAUGAUUCAUUCAUAACAUUCACAGACGAUUACUCCCGCUUAGGUUACAUUUAUCCAAUCAAAGAAAUAAAUGAGGCAUUGGAUAAAUCCAAGAUAUUCAAAGUUGAAGUUGAAAAUCAGCUUGACAAAAAGAUUAAGAUUGUGAGGUCAGACCGUGGGGGGAGUACUAUGGUCGACACACACCAUAUGGCCAAGUCCCUGGACCUUUUGCAAAGUUCUUGAAGGAGACUGGCAUUGUCGCCCAGUAUUCAAUGCCGGGCGAGCCUCAGCAAAAUGGAGUAGCUGAAAGGCGCAACCGUACCCUCAUGGAUAUGGUGUGCAGCAUGAUGAGCUACUCCGACAUGCCAUUGGGAUUGUGGAUGGAGGCGCUUAAAACCGCCAUUCACAUUCUCAACGGAGUACCAAGCAAGUCGGUGCCCAAAACAGCGCACGAGCUAUGGACAGGAAGAGUGCCAUCCCUGCAACACUUCAGGGUGUGGGGAUGUCCAGCUGAGGCCAAAAUGUUUAAUCCAAACAUUGGAAAGUUAGAUCCAAAGACAGUGAGUUGCCAUUUCAUUGGCUACCCUGAUAGAUCAAAAGGUUUUCGUUUCUACUGUCCUGACAGAUACACAAAGUUUGUGGAAACGAGACAUGUUGUCUUCUUAGAGGACGAAAUGAUGAGGGGGAGCAUGGUAGCUCGAAAAAUUGAUCUUGAGGAGAAAAGGGUGCAUGCACCCAUUCCAAUGAUUCAAGAGCCAUUUUUCUCGCUACCCGUUGUAACUCCAACGAUGACAACUAUGGGAGAAGACCCGGAACCUGUCCUUCAGGAGCCGACUGAACCCGUUGUUGAUCAUGAAAGGGAAGUGCAGCAAGAAAUAGUAGAAAGUGUGCCAGAUAAUGAGGCACUUAGAAGGUCUAACAGAACAAGAAGACCUGCUAUUUCUACUGAUUAUAAAGUCUAUAACACAGAAAUGGUUCAUAUGGAAGGUGAUCCCACCACAUACGAAGAAGCCAUUAAAGCCCUCACUCAUCAAAAUGGCUAGAGGCAAUGGAAGAUGAGAUGAAACCGAUGAGUUCCAAUAAUGUUUGGGACUUAGAGAUAAUUCCUAAAGGAGCAAAGACAGUAGGCUGCAAAUGGGUCUACAAAACAAAGUAUGACUCUAAUGGGAAUGUAGAUAAGUAUAAAGCCCGACUUGUGGCAAAAGGAUUCACGCAAAGAGAAGUGAUAGACUACAAUGAGACUUUUUCUCCAGUCUCUUGUAAGGAUUCCUUCCGAAUCAUAAUGGCACCAGUUGCUCAUUUUGAUUUAGAGCUGCAUCAAAUGGAUGUAAGGACCGCAUUUCUAAACGGAGAUUUAGAAGAAGAUGUCUACAUGAAACAACCCAAGGGUUUUAUCAUGGAAGGCAAGGAAAAUAUGGGAUGCCGCCUAAGGGAAUCCAUUUAUGGGCUAAGGCAAGCCUCUAGACAGUGGUACAUAAAGUUUAAUGAUACUAUUAAAAGGUUUGGAUUUCAAGAAAAUGUCGAGGAUAACUGCAUUUAUGCAAAGUUUAAACAUGGGAAAUAUAUUUUCCUAAUCUUGUAUGUGGAUGAUAUCUUGCUUGCAAGCAAUGGUAUUAGUCUACUACAAGAGACAAAGAAGUUUUUAUCCUCGAACUUCGACAUGAAAGACCUUGGUGAUGCAUCAUAUGUUUUGGGCAUUGAAAUUCACCGAGACAGGAAAAAUGGAGUCUUAGGACUCUCACAGAAAGCAUAUUUAGAGAAAGUUCUCCAAAAGUAUAAUAUGCAUAAGUGUAAAGCCACACCUGCUCCAAUAGUCAAGGGCGAUAGUUUUGGGAAUCACCAAUGUCCCAAGAAUAAGUACGAGCUCGAUGAAAUGAAAACAAUACUGUAUACUUCGGCUGUUGGAAGUUUACAGUAUGCACAAGUGUGCACAUGCCCUGACUUGGCGUUUAUCACCGGGGUACUCGGUAGAUAUCAAGCAAAUCCAGGCCAAGAGCACUGGAAGAUGGCAAAGAAAGCUUUGCGUUAUGUGCAAGGCACAAAAGAAAUCAUGCUAACAUACAGGAGAUCUGAGUCCCUAGAGAUAAAAGGGUACUCAGACGCAGAUUUUGCGGGAGAUAGAGAUGAUAGAAAAUCCACGUCUGGGUACGUGUUCACUCUCGCAGGGGGAGCUAUUUCAUGGAAAAGCUCCAAAUUACAGACCAUAGUUGCAUCGUCCACGAUGCAAGCAGAGUUCAUAGCAUGCUUUGAAGCCACCGGGCAGGUGAUAUGGUUAAAGAAGUUUAUACCCGACUUGAAAGUGGUAGAUUGUAUUCACAAGCCACUAAAGAUAUACUAUGACAACCAGCCCGCAGUAUUCUAUGCUCACAACAACAAGUCUAGUAAUGCUUCCAAGACAAUAGAUAUAAAGUAUUACGUUGUGAAAGAUAAAAUCCAGGAUCAAACUAUAAGUCUCGAGCAUAUAAGUACGAAGUAUAUGCUUGCGGAUCCGCUAACGAAAGGCUUACCACCCAGUGUGUUCAAGGAACACUUAGCCGGCAUGGGUUUGAUGGAAAGCCUAUGAUUCCUGGAUCAUAAGAGGCCCAAAAGUAAAUGAAUUUGUUUCAAAACAAAAGUGUGUUGUAGCUGUAUGAUUCUAUCGCCAAUUAAGCUGUGACGAUGAGACAUGCUCUACAUGCCUAUAUGUGAUGGACCAAAUAAAAGGUAUAAAGUCAAAAGUAAAAGUCGAGAUCAAGGGGGAGAAUGUUAGAUUCAUCUCUCACUGCGUGGGCCCAACGGCCCACCGGGCCUUGAUCUAUGCGCCCUGAUCGGGGGCGCCCAACCCAUUAUGGUUGGUGGGCCCCUGUGACCUGCGCUAUAUAAAGGAAGGUGGGGUGCCAGAGCACGAACUACGAGAUUCGCUGCUGUCACACCCCUACCGACAUACCUAUCCGAUCUAGGUUAAGCGCGGUGCUCACGGGAAGCUCCACCCACGCCUAAGCCUCUUUCUCCGUCACCGCCGUUGCUACCGCACCGAUGGAGACCGGUGGGAGCUCAUCCAGCUCAGGACAAGGUAAACCUACGGGCACUACCGUGACUCAUCUACCCUAGUCGAUCCGCAGGAUCUAUCAAAAACCACACGAGGCCGAGUUCCAAAAAAAUCUCUUCGUGGAACUGGACUAGAACCAUCCCCUAGAAGCUACAGUUCUACCCCGGCACAACGGACCCAUCCUCAGCGAUCUCAAAAAGAUACGAAAGCAUCGGAAAAGCACAUUGAGCCUCCACGGCUUCCAAUAUGGGUAUAACAACUGAAAUAAGAGCACACAUUCUGCUCACACGCAACAGAAGUCAAACAAGACUGGAAAAUAACACGACCUCGAGAACGGCGAGACCAUCAGUACAUCAACAACCAUGACAACAUGCAAAAAGAUAAAUACAUCUGAAGCCACAAACAAUGUACAUGGAGUGGAAAAUGAGAGCAAACCUUGAGCAGCAGCAGCAGGUUGAAGAUCUAGAAACAGAGCACUACUUCCAACCUAUAAAAAAACACAAACAUAAUCAUCAGAACAUAGCAGGAAAAACAAAGCAGGUCCAGAGCACACCUAUUCCAUCAAUGGCACUAAACAAAUGCCGACCAACAUAACGGCAUCAUAACAAUUCUUUUAACCAAAGGAAAUAACACUACUCACUAUACUAAAACACCAUCUACUUAGACAUGCAGCAACAGAAGAAAAAACUCAUCAAUCAACCUCACACGGUGCGCUUUCACGCAAAGCAACAAACAAAAGCAACAUAAACCCUCUACAUAGAUCCAAGGCAGUCUAGAAGAGAAAGUGGAGCACAAGACAUGGUAGAUAUAGACAACUAAACAUUGGAGAAAAGCAACACGCUAUAUUAGCAAGGAAAAGAAAGCCCGGACAUGAACUGCAGAGGCAGCAAGCAAGUAAAAUGGACAAAUCAUCUAUCUUCUCAAACCUAAUCUUUUGGGCUAUCACUAAGUACCGCAUCUCCCCACCAUCCACAAAUAGAAAGAAAGAGGCUAAGGAGCAGCACAUUACCAAAAUGACGAAGCGGAACUAGAACAGCAGCGAGCAAGCAAACGCGGAGGAACAGUCGACCAACCUGAGAACAACCCAAAACACAAAUUGCACUCAUAUAAUACGCUCACGAACAACAUGAACCAUACACAACUAACAAGAGGCAAAAAUGCUAAAUCAGAACAAACGACAGCAGACAACCAUCCUUUCGAGCAUUUCUCCAAAUACCUUGACGGCAUGUACCACACAAAAGCAGAAGAGUUGAGCACUAACCUGGAAAGCAACAACGGAAUGACCCACGCUCCCAGGAAGGAGCCAACGGAAACAUCUAGCAAACUGUGCAUGAAUGGAGAAAACGCAAACAGACCACUUCAGUGAAGAAGAGAAGGAACGACCGGAAAGAACCGAAAAAGGAGAGGAGGAAGAACCUCAACUAACACCAUCCAUGGUACAACGGGCGGCCAUGGCGACAAGCCACAACACGAGUCAUUCGAACUGGAUGAAGCGGGGUGAAGAGGAAAGGACACAACAGUGUGGAAGGAGGACGACAUCGAGCGAACGAAGCGAGCGUGCAGAGAAUGAGAGACGGAAGAAGAAGGAAAGGGUCAAAUCGAAGACAACAGGACCCCCAUCCACCGCGACAGCACGGACAACUCUCACACACUGGCAUCGGAACCCACCACAUAUGCAUCGACACACGUCCUAUCUGGGGCCAGGGGCCACUGUCAGCCCAACAUGAGAGACAACGACAAACACACGCAGGGCACCCACCAG
Molecule: long non-coding RNA, 10585 nt
Filed under: Hordeum vulgare
Lineage: Eukaryota; Viridiplantae; Streptophyta; Magnoliopsida; Poales; Poaceae
Description: long non-coding RNA (HVUL_LNC004052)
Source: RNAcentral